AGGACGAACGCUGGCGGCGUGCUUAACACAUGCAAGUGGAGCGACGAACCGGGGCUUGCCCUGGGGCAGAGCCGCGAACGGGUGAGUAACACGUGGGUUACCUGCCUCGAUGACCGGGACAACCCGAGGAAACUCGGGCUAAUACCGGAUGUGCCCGCAAGGGGAAAGGAAGCUUCGGCCUCCGCAUCGAGAUGGGCCCGCGGCCCAUUAGCUUGUUGGUGAGGUAAUGGCUCACCAAGGCUUCGAUGGGUAGCUGGUCUGAGAGGACGAUCAGCCACACUGGGACUGAGACACGGCCCAGACUCCUACGGGAGGCAGCAGUGGGGAAUCUUGCGCAAUGCGCGAAAGCGUGACGCAGCAACGCCGCGUGGGGGAAGAAGGCUUUCGGGUGUAAACCCUUUCAGUUGGGACGAAGCUUCUCCGGUGAAUAGCCGGACGGAGUGACGGUACCUUCACAAGAGCACCGGCUAACUACGUGCCAGCAGCCGCGGU
RNAcentral lists this ribosomal RNA (492 nucleotides) under uncultured bacterium. RNAcentral describes it as "SSU rRNA". It matches the Rfam family "Bacterial small subunit ribosomal RNA", at positions 26 to 521 of the family's 1533-position model. The record is from RNAcentral.